GGACAGUGGACAGCUCUCAGUGAUGUCUCGGAGAUGAGGCUGCUUUUAGAAUGUUGGAAAUCUCGAAUUUGCUUUAACAGCUGCAACUUUGAAGUGAGGUGAGUGACACUGAUAGGGAAGUGAAUGAGGAACAAAUAAAAAGUGACAGGAAGAGCAAGCUUCUUACUCCUCUGGGCUGGUGAUUUUUCUAGCAUGACCUGCUGACUGAGCCUAACAAAAACAUCCAGCAGAGCAAAAGUGUGGUCUGUACAGUCCUGGUCCCAGCAUCAAAAAGCAGACUAUGGAGGAGAGGAGCCCAAGUCCUAACCAUAAAUGCGCUGACACCUGGCAGAGUAGUACCACAGUGGCCUCCACACAAGAAAAGCGAACAUUAUAUACUGCAAACAUGUGCAAAAAAAGAAAAAAAAAAUGGAAGAGGAUCAAGAAAUCCUGGAGAGGGG
RNAcentral lists this long non-coding RNA (440 nucleotides) under Fukomys damarensis (Damara mole-rat). RNAcentral's name for it is "lncRNA (ENSFDAG00000030798.1)". The record is from RNAcentral. Lineage: Eukaryota; Metazoa; Chordata; Mammalia; Rodentia; Bathyergidae.